This 211-nucleotide ribosomal RNA is filed under the name uncultured Staphylococcus sp. RNAcentral's name for it is "partial 16S ribosomal RNA". It matches the Rfam family "Bacterial small subunit ribosomal RNA", at positions 150 to 354 of the family's 1533-position model. Lineage: Bacteria; Bacillati; Bacillota; Bacilli; Caryophanales; Staphylococcaceae. The record is from RNAcentral.
CGGGAAACCGGAGCUAAUACCGGAUAAUAUUUCAACCGCAUGGUUCGAUAGUGAAAGAUGGUUUUGCUAUCACUUAUAGAUGGACCCGCGCCGUAUUAGCUAGUUGGUAAGGUAACGGCUUACCAAGGCGACGAUACGUAGCCGACCUGAGAGGGUGAUCGGCCACACUGGAACUGAGACACGGUCCAGACUCCUACGGGAGGCAGCAGAC